RNAcentral lists this ribosomal RNA (446 nucleotides) under uncultured bacterium. RNAcentral describes it as "partial 16S ribosomal RNA". It matches the Rfam family "Bacterial small subunit ribosomal RNA", at positions 338 to 795 of the family's 1533-position model. The record is from RNAcentral.
CCUACGGGUGGCAGCAGUCGAGAAUCAUUCACAAUGGGGGAAACCCUGAUGGUGCGACGCCGCGUGGGGGAAUGAAGGUCUUCGGAUUGUAAACCCCUGUCAUGUGGGAGCAAAUUAAAAAGAUAGUACCACAAGAGGAAGAGACGGCUAACUCUGUGCCAGCAGCCGCGGUAAUACAGAGGUCUCAAGCGUUGUUCGGAAUCACUGGGCGUAAAGCGUGCGUAGGCUGCUUCGUAAGUCGUGUGUGAAAGGCGCGGGCUCAACCCGCGGACGGCACAUGAUACUGCGAGACUAGAGUAAGGGAGGGGGAACCGGAAUGCUCGGUGUAGCAGUGAAAUGCGUAGAUAUCGAGAGGAACACUCGUGGCGAAGGCGGGUUCCUGGACAUUAACUGACGCUGAGGCACGAAGGCCAGGGGAGCGAAAGGGAUUAGAUACCCUAGUAGUC